This 447-nucleotide ribosomal RNA is filed under the name uncultured Propionicimonas sp. Its description in RNAcentral is "bacterial SSU rRNA". It matches the Rfam family "Bacterial small subunit ribosomal RNA", at positions 336 to 795 of the family's 1533-position model. The record is from RNAcentral. Lineage: Bacteria; Bacillati; Actinomycetota; Actinomycetes; Propionibacteriales; Nocardioidaceae.
UUCCUACGGGAGGCUGCAGUGGGGAAUAUUGCGCAAUGGGCGAAAGCCUGACGCAGCAACGCCGCGUGCGGGAUGACGGCCUUCGGGUUGUAAACCGCUUUCAGCAGGGACGAAGGGUUUCUGACGGUACCUGCAGAAGAAGCACCGGCUAACUACGUGCCAGCAGCCGCGGUGAUACGUAGGGUGCGAGCGUUGUCCGGAAUUAUUGGGCGUAAAGAGCUUGUAGGCGGUCCGUUGCGUCGGAAGUGAAAACUCGGGGCUUAACCCCGAGCCUGCUUUCGAUACGGGCGGACUUGAGGGAUGUAGGGGAGAACGGAAUUCCUGGUGGAGCGGUGGAAUGCGCAGAUAUCAGGAGGAACACCAGUGGCGAAGGCGGUUCUCUGGACAUUUCCUGACGCUGAGAAGCGAAAGCGUGGGGAGCAAACAGGAUUAGAUACCCCAGUAGUC